This 313-nucleotide ribosomal RNA is filed under the name uncultured bacterium. Its description in RNAcentral is "partial 16S ribosomal RNA". It matches the Rfam family "Bacterial small subunit ribosomal RNA", at positions 1 to 287 of the family's 1533-position model. The record is from RNAcentral.
GAUCUAGCUCUGUACUCCGAAUGCCUCUAGAUUAGAGUUUGAUCAUGGCUCAGACGCUGAACGCUGGCGGUAGGCCUAACACAUGCAAGUCGAACGGCUGCACAGGAGAGCUUGCUCUCUGGGUGGCGAGUGGCGGACGGGUGAGGAAUACAUCGGAAUCUACUCUGUCGUGGGGGAUAAGCGUAGGGAAACUUACGCUAAUACCGCAUUACGACCUACGGGUGAAAUAUGCAGGGGGANUCUUUACGGAACCGUUUGGCNGGCGGGAAUUUGGGAAAUUGGAAGGCCCCGGAAUUGUCAGAGGAAUUUUAGC